This 253-nucleotide ribosomal RNA is filed under the name uncultured bacterium. RNAcentral's name for it is "partial 16S ribosomal RNA". It matches the Rfam family "Bacterial small subunit ribosomal RNA", at positions 524 to 776 of the family's 1533-position model. The record is from RNAcentral.
GACGUAGGGCGCGAGCGUUGUCCGGAUUUAUUGGGCGUAAAGAGCUCGUAGGCGGCUUGUCGCGUCGACUGUGAAAACCCGCGGCUCAACUGCGGGCCUGCAGCCGAUACGGGCAGACUAGAGGUAUGCAGGGGAGAACGGAAUUCCUGGUGUAGCGGUGGAAUGCGCAGAUAUCGGGAGGAACACCAAUGGCGAAGGCAGCUCUCUGGGACGGUACUGACGCUGAGACGCGAAAGCGUGGGGAGCGAACAGG